GAGACUCUGUGCGCGUGCAUAUCAAUAAGCGGAGGAAAAGAAACUAACAAGGAUUCCCUUAGUAACGGCGAGUGAAGCGGGAAGAGCUCAAAUUUGAAAUCUUCAAGGUUUUACCUUGACGAAUUGUAGUUUAAAGAAGUGUUUUCUGUUGAAGUUUUGGUAAAAGUUCUUUGGAAUAGGACAUCAUAGAGGGUGAGAAUCCCGUAUUUGACCAUUAUUUCCAGCUGUGUGAUACACUUUCAAAGAGUCGGAUUGUUUGGGAAUGCAGUCCAAAAUGGGUGGUAAAUUUCAUCUAAAGCUAAAUAUUGGCGAGAGACCGAUAGCGAACAAGUACCGUGAGGGAAAGAUGAAAAGAACUUUGAAAAGAGAGUUAAACAGUACGUGAAAUUGUCAAAAGGGAAGCGUUUGACACCAGUGUUGUUUUUCCGAAAAUCAAUUACGAAUGUUUUGUUUUUAAGAAGUUAUGACUUCAUCGGCUUGCUUCUUUCUUUACGAAACUUUCUUAAUGCACUUUUCGGUUAACAAGUCAACAUCAAUUUCUUUUGUUGUAAAAGGGUAUGAGGAAGGUGGCUUUCUUUUCGGAGAAAGUGUUUAUAGCCUUGUACCUCUGCAAUCGGAGAGAUUGAGGUCUGCAGCGUAGAUCCUUCGGGGUUAGAUACAUUUGUGCUAAGUUAUAGCUUUUCAUAGACAACUUGUUGACUAUGUUUAGUCUUGUAGCUUACUCGCUUAUGCUAUUUUACCUACGCUUAGGAUGUUGAACUCUAUCACACACAG
This 774-nucleotide ribosomal RNA is filed under the name uncultured Neocallimastigales. Its description in RNAcentral is "partial large subunit ribosomal RNA". It matches the Rfam family "Eukaryotic large subunit ribosomal RNA", at positions 23 to 621 of the family's 3401-position model. The record is from RNAcentral. Lineage: Eukaryota; Fungi; Neocallimastigomycota; Neocallimastigomycetes; Neocallimastigales.